AAGAAAAAAAGCAAUAACCAAAAAAGCUAAGACAAUGGUCCUUGAAAAUGGAAAAAAAUAAAAAAGGAAAGAAGAAAGACCAUUCCAAAUGGUGACCCCCCCACCCCCCAUACUCACAAAAGGAGCUAUAAUCACUGUCUUUUUUUUUUUACAUCAACGUCAUAUAAAAAACUGAUAACUUGAAAUGUGAAGUCUCAUUUUUAGGUGAUAUACAAUUGUAUUUUAGUAUAUGGUUUUGCUGCAUAAAAGCCUUGGAAACAUAUUUUAAAACUGAUAACGUAAUUUAACUCAAACUGCUUCAAAUAGAAUAACAUUUAAUAAAUAAGAAGAGCAUUUGUAUGCAUAUACUGUGAACCUACAGAAGAAAACUUGAUCCCACAAAGAUAUAUGCACUAAAGAAAUGUAACAGAAGAAUACAUUAAGAAAAGUGAAUGUACUUCUGAAGGCUGCCAGUUUGAAGGCAGAAAUGUUGGAGACUGAAAUGUUGGAGACUGAAGAUUUGUGUUUUUCCACAUAUCAGUUCUGCAAAUGAAUUUUGCUAAUCUGAAACACCAAGAAUGGUUGCCUUGUUUUUUCCAGAAAACUUUUCCCAACUUCUAAGGAAAAAGGUAAAUUUUUUCUUUCUUUAAGAUAGUCUUUUGUUAGAUGUUGGAUGAUGAAGGACUUAAGACAGAAAAAUGCAAAGCUGUAACUCACUGAAAACGUUGAGUUAAAAGAAAAUGAUGGGAAAACUAUCUAAGUUGUGGGGUAACAGGAAGAGAAAGUCAAAGAAAUUGUAACUUGUCUUUGUCUCAAAAGCCAUGUACAAAAGACCUCCAGUGAGAAUUUCUUUUAAAUAACUCUUAAAGCCAGGGUUAUAGAAAUUGAGUCAUGGGGGGGCGGGAGGUAUAAUUAACAAGUGAAAACUUGGUUUAAAGAAACAGGGAGGAAAUAUAGUUUAUGUUGAAGAAUGACAUUUUGAAAUCUUUUCAGUAUUUAAACAUUUUAAACUUUAACAUCUUUCUCCUCUAAGAUCUUAUAUGUACAGCAUGAGCAACAUCAGAAGAAGCCUCCUUGUACAGAUCUGCCAAUCUUAACCCUGUUGUGAAGGACCCACUCCUAGAGAUGAAGUGGUAGCUUAAUCUUCAUAGAUUGGCCUUUCGCAUCUUUGCUCUGAUAGAAAAACAGUAAUGCUCCUCUAGUCAGUUGUGAUGUUGGUUUUGUAACAUGGAUAUUGGUCCACUAGGCAAAGCACAUCAAAACGCCAUCAGAUACAAAGAACUUUCCACCUCCAUUGAUAUGGCCCUGAUGUGAAUCAGUGACCUGGAAAUGAAAUGUGUCACAGUUUAUUACCAGUUCCCUGAACCUUCUAAUCCCACUAAGGAUCUAAUAAAAAUUAUUCCAAAACCUGUUGUUAAUUUGCUUUUUUCUUUAUAAUUAGCUCACUUGAUACCAUUGACUGGGAUUUUUGGAUUUUCUCCUGCUUCGGCCACAAAGUGAUCACAGGAACUGGCAUAAGUUUCCAUCAGUACACCUCAUUUGCUGUAUUACAGAAUUGUCCAGGUGCAUUGAUUUUUUUUCACCUUCCACCAUCAGCUACUGGCCACUGGAGAAGAUGAGUCAGGAUUUCAUUUUUCCAGUGGGCUUGUAAUGCUGAGAGCCUAUAGAUGUCUUUGGAACUGCAUAUUACCUGAUCCUGUAUUACUUUGUUACUGACGUGGUCAUAUGUUCCCGACUUCCUCCAUACUCCAGUAGAGUAAUUCAGCUUUUUGCCUUUCUCCGACCAAGGUUGUACAAGAUUACAUCCUGCAAUGUUAGCUGCACAGGUGUAUGAACAGUAUAUUACCCUUUCCUAUCAGCAGGUGGAGAGACAUAAAAUUGAGAAAGUCAUUCUUCAGACAUGAUUUCUCUUUUAAGAAGAAAGUAUCUAUUGCAGCAAUUUCCCUCAUACUUCAGCCUUUUUGCGACAUAUAUUGGAAAAAUGUUUCUCAUGAAGUCACUAAAAAUACUUACUUCAUUUAUUCAAUACAUUUUACAAA
This is a non-coding RNA of Chrysemys picta bellii (western painted turtle), 2018 nucleotides long. NCBI's taxonomy places the organism in Eukaryota, Metazoa, Chordata, Testudines, Emydidae. The record is from RefSeq and is a predicted model, not a curated record.